AAAUUGAAGAGUUUGAUCAUGGCUCAGAUUGAACGCUGGUGGCAGGCCUAACACAUGCAAGUCGAACGGUAACAGGAAGAAGCUUGCUUCUUUGCUGACGAGUGGCGGACGGGUGAGUAAUGUCUGGGAAACUGCCUGAUGGAGGGGGAUAACUACUGGAAACGGUAGCUAAUACCGCAUAACGUCGCAAGACCAAAGAGGGGGACCUUCGGGCCUCUUGCCAUCGGAUGUGCCCAGAUGGGAUUAGCUUGUUGGUGGGGUAACGGCUCACC
RNAcentral lists this ribosomal RNA (272 nucleotides) under Escherichia coli. RNAcentral describes it as "partial 16S ribosomal RNA". It matches the Rfam family "Bacterial small subunit ribosomal RNA", at positions 1 to 269 of the family's 1533-position model. Lineage: Bacteria; Pseudomonadati; Pseudomonadota; Gammaproteobacteria; Enterobacterales; Enterobacteriaceae. The record is from RNAcentral.